Molecule: long non-coding RNA, 810 nt
Filed under: Calidris pugnax (ruff)
Lineage: Eukaryota; Metazoa; Chordata; Aves; Charadriiformes; Scolopacidae
Description: lncRNA (ENSCPUG00000013694.1)
Source: RNAcentral
ACCACGGGACAGUGUUAGACAGCCAUGGGCAUUGGCAUGGCUGGAGAAGGUAACAGCAAGAGGACAAGCUUUGCGUGCCUGGUGAAAGGAAAUCCAGAGAGGAGAGAUAAUGAACUGCAGAUGAUGGUGCUGAGGGAUGUUUGCUACCUGCAGGAGGGAAGUGAUGCCCGGAGCUGAUACUGCCACGCACUGCACAGUGAGGAUGCAAACUGGCUCAGUUUUAAGAGAAGCUUCACCAAGAAGCUGUCAGCCAGCACAGAAGAUCAAGAAAAGGAGCAUGCUUACCACACCCUUGAGAAAAGAUGAAGUUGAAUAAACUCAUGCAUAGUUACCAAUACAUCAAGAAGAGGCAUAUGUCUUGGAGCUUUAUAAAAGAAAAGUACUACAACCCAGAUUAGCUAGUUCUUCAUUUACUUUCAGUUAGAGUUGGAAACCAAUUCAGACUAAACAUUUUAAUUGACGAAUACAGUGCCUUCAUGCCAGAAAUUGCCUGUAAACACUCCAUGACUUCUCCAGAAAUACUUACUAUUAGCUAAAUGUUUUCCACAAGUUAACAUCUGCCUGUGACUGGCUCAAGAGUUGUUCACCACAACUAUUUGCUCACGUAUCUGAGAUCAAAUAUUUGAGCUAUGGGACUAGUUAGCCAGUCAUAUGGUAUUGCAUGUCUUUUCAGCCACAUCUGAAUGCCUACAGGAGCAGCUUCAGCACAAUGCUUGUUGAAAAUACUGAAUUUACAUGUUUAUUCACCACUGCCUUGCAGCAAACGCUGUCAAAAAUAAAAGUUCCCUCCUGCAAUCGAUGACUUAAAUA